AGUGAACGCUGGCGGUAGGCCUAACACAUGCAAGUCGAACGGCAGCACAGUAAGAGCUUGCUCUUACGGGUGGCGAGUGGCGGACGGGUGAGGAAUACAUCGGAAUCUACUUUUUCGUGGGGGAUAACGUAGGGAAACUUACGCUAAUACCGCAUACGACCUACGGGUGAAAGCAGGGGAUCUUCGGACCUUGCGCGAUUGAAUGAGCCGAUGUCGGAUGAGCUAGUUGGCGGGGUAAAGGCCCACCAAGGCGACGAUCCGUAGCUGGUCUGAGAGGAUGAUCAGCCACACUGGAACUGAGACACGGUCCAGACUCCUACGGGAGGCAGCAGUGGGGAAUAUUGGACAAUGGGCGCAAGCCUGAUCCAGCCAUACCGCGUGGGUGAAGAAGGCCUUCGGGUUGUAAAGCCCUUUUGUUGGGAAAGAAAAGCAGCAGGUUAAUACCCCGCUGUUCUGACGGUACCCAAAGAAUAAGCGCCGGCUAACUUCGUG
Molecule: ribosomal RNA, 492 nt
Filed under: uncultured bacterium
Lineage: Bacteria
Description: partial 16S ribosomal RNA
Rfam family: Bacterial small subunit ribosomal RNA
Source: RNAcentral